This 290-nucleotide unclassified non-coding RNA is filed under the name Hevea brasiliensis (rubber tree). Lineage: Eukaryota; Viridiplantae; Streptophyta; Magnoliopsida; Malpighiales; Euphorbiaceae. The record is from RNAcentral.
GGGACGGGUGUGGCUUUUAUAUAUAUAUAGAAAUAGAGAGAGACCGAUAGAGAAAGAAAGAGAGAGAAGAAUUGAUUGUAGUGUUAGUUUUUAUAUAAUUGGAACCUGUUGUGAUGGAAAUUUGAGUGUGCACGUGCUUCAUGAUCAUCUCAUCUGCACUGCAAAGGAAACAAGAAUUUUGCACUUACAAUGACCUAAAACCCAUGAGAGGAAAUUGAGAGAAAGAAAGAAAGUACAUAACAAGGAAAAGGAGAGGAAAGGAAAAGAAAAGAAAAGAAAAGAAAGGAAAG